GUAAGACAAGAUCCAACCAGGACCACUUGUUUGAUGCCCCCAGUAGGCUCAUCGUGCGAGGAAACCGGUGAAGGUUAUGUCAAGUGUGCAUGAACCUGGUCUUGGAGCUACCACAAAGUCAAGGAAAGCAAGAUGAAGCGACUAAUAAGAGCUGGUCUUUCUGUUGCCCACUGUGAUGAACAGAUGUCAAAGUGUUGAAUCUGUUAUGUUUUUACAUAUGCACUUUCAUAAUGUGUAAAUAUGGGAAUUGUAAAGUUGGACAUGAUGUGAUGUUGUGUCUUACGUAAACAGAAAAUAAGACAUUUUUAUCUACUGAUUAUCAUUGGACAAAGAAAGUCAUAUUCAGAUUUGUCAAUGAAUAAAACACUUGAACUUCAUAUAUGGCUGUAAAUAUAUCUUUAUUACAAGUUAACAUGGUUGAUAAAAACAACAUUAAA
Molecule: long non-coding RNA, 437 nt
Filed under: Haliotis rubra (blacklip abalone)
Lineage: Eukaryota; Metazoa; Mollusca; Gastropoda; Lepetellida; Haliotidae
Description: uncharacterized LOC124278138
Source: RNAcentral